This 433-nucleotide ribosomal RNA is filed under the name uncultured bacterium. RNAcentral describes it as "bacterial SSU rRNA". It matches the Rfam family "Bacterial small subunit ribosomal RNA", at positions 957 to 1391 of the family's 1533-position model. The record is from RNAcentral.
GAACGCGAAGAACCUUACCUGGUCUUGACAUGUACGGAAUCCUCCAGAGACGGAGGAGUGCCUUUGGGAGCCGUAACACAGGUGCUGCAUGGCUGUCGUCAGCUCGUGUCGUGAGAUGUUGGGUUAAGUCCCGCAACGAGCGCAACCCUUGUCAUUAGUUGCCAUCAUUUAGUUGGGCACUCUAAUGAGACUGCCGGUGACAAGCCGGAGGAAGGUGGGGAUGACGUCAAGUCCUCAUGGCCCUUAUGACCAGGGCUUCACACGUCAUACAAUGGUCGGUACAGAGGGUAGCCAAGCCGCGAGGUGGAGCCAAUCUCACAAAACCGAUCGUAGUCCGGAUUGCACUCUGCAACUCGAGUGCAUGAAGUCGGAAUCGCUAGUAAUCGCAGGUCAGCAUACUGCGGUGAAUACGUUCCCGGGUCUUGUACACACC